GGUUUUGUAGUGUAGCGGUUAUCACUCCGGAUUCUGAUCAUCUCAGAUGUAAUUCUUACCCUUCCGGCAACCCCGGUUCGAUUCCGGGCAAGACCU
RNAcentral lists this transfer RNA (96 nucleotides) under Phaeosphaeriaceae sp. SRC1lsM3a. RNAcentral describes it as "Stagonospora sp. SRC1lsM3a tRNA". It matches the Rfam family "tRNA". Rfam says of the family: Transfer RNA (tRNA) molecules are approximately 80 nucleotides in length. Their secondary structure includes four short double-helical elements and three loops (D, anti-codon, and T loops). The record is from Rfam by way of RNAcentral. Lineage: Eukaryota; Fungi; Ascomycota; Dothideomycetes; Pleosporales; Phaeosphaeriaceae.